AUAAUUGAGCACGUGUGAUCAAAUUGUUAUGAGUAUUUGUUUCAGUUAACACCAGGGGUGAAUUCGUUCUACUACUUCAUUUUCGCUAAAUUCAUCUCGCCUUCAUCCUACUCGUGGUAGGAGAUGGAGAUGACCAAUCAGUCUCUUCUCACACGCGAUCGCGAUUGUACAUGCAGUUGACCGGACAUCUACAACAGUGUUUUGUUACAAGGAACAAUGGACUAAAAAUUAAAAUUGUGCUACUAUAACAGUGAACAAAAAGAAUAUGGCAAGUUAACAAAUGGUGAUACUAGCUCGGAUUUUACAAGAUAAGUAUUACUUUAUGUAUCUACUAUGCGUUAAGCUGGACGAAACUAUUUAUUUUCAGGUUUGUUCGACCAGGUGGCCUCCUGGUCUUAUCAGGCGUGAUCUACUAUGGAGUUCCUAUUCGUAUGGUUGAGCUUUCUGUGCACCUUGAAAGCGAUCAUUAUGAUUUUUUUACGCCUGUGGAACAACCCUGAGAACGAUCCCAUUUCAUCGAUAAUUAAUUACUCUAUAUGGUUCAAAAUAAUUCAGCACACAACUUCAUCUUUUCUCGAGCAAGAGAGCUUUCUCUCUGCUCUAUGACUCGGACAAUGAUUGUACCAACCAACCAUCACUAUCUGACCACUAUCCAAAGGACAGUUCAUUCGAUCGAGGUACUUUGAUGACCGGAGACAGAGAAGCUGAUCUGUGUUGCAACAAAUUCGUGCUCUAAUAAUGCACUUGUUUACAAGGUAUCGUUUACCCUCAUUGGCGAGAAUCCGAAUCAUCUGGACGAAGGUCUGCAGCUGAGAAUACGCCAAGAUGCUUGCCAUUCUCGUCUGCCAACUCAUAGGAGCUCGUUCCUCGCCUCGCUACGACGACACACGGAAUGUAGACUGGCCCAUACUUGGCGUUGUACUUCUCGACGGCGGAAGACAAUCGGAAAUUGCGCUUGUACACCCGCUGUCCUACUUGGUAA
This is a long non-coding RNA of Ochlerotatus camptorhynchus, 982 nucleotides long. RefSeq lists it as uncharacterized. The record is from RefSeq and is a predicted model, not a curated record. Lineage: Eukaryota; Metazoa; Arthropoda; Insecta; Diptera; Culicidae. The transcript has 3 exons.